GUCUGUUUCCCAGUGCACCCAACUUGUGAUAGAAGGUAUAUGUUCUGCUGAAAAAGAGAAAAAGGAAAAAAAAGAAUAAAAGCAGAGAGAGGCGCCCUGAAUUCCAUGCCGGGUCAUUACAGAGCCAGUGGCGGAGACUCUAUGAGACCCAGCCCCACUGGCUGCAGCCCCUUCGGAUGCAUCUGCGAGAGCAGCCUGGCCGUCACCCGCCGGCCUGGCCCGUGCUGUCAGCCGGCCAGAGCGUGUCUGAAUCGAGGAAAGCUGACUGGGGCUCGAUUCACACUGACUCGAGCCGCAAGAUCUGAGCAUCAUUACGAGCUGCCAUGGAGGCCCUUCACUACCUUAAACUUCACAACAAGCCUAUGAGGCUCCUCCAGGUAGCCGAGCCUCAGCCACCAGGGCCACAGACUUCUCUGCUGCCUUGAGGGACCUACGGGACUAGCAGGAGCUGCUCUUCCUCGUACGACUUCUACCCACCCAGGGAUAUCACUUGACCUCUCUGAGCCUGCUUCCUCCUGGAGACAACAGUGUAUACUCAGGGCUAUUGCGGGGAAUGACAAGGAAAAUGGAUGAAAAUGUGCUGGAGAAAUUCUGAGGCAUCAGUCAGAUGAAAGCCCUACCUCUCCCUCUCAAAUCAGAGCCUGUUUGGCGAAGACUUUUCAGGUGUGCCGACUGCCCCAAGCUGACCCAGUGCGGAUCCUAACUGGCCCCACCAGCAUCUUCCAUGCUCACCCAGCUGGCCCAUGUCUUGAAGAUGCCCUGGGCUCCCAGCUCUGCCACCCCAGCUUUCUGAGUCUCCAUGGAUCGGGAUCACUGGGGACCCAGCAGGAAGAAGUUGGAGAAGAUAGGAAGGCAGGACGGGACUGGAAUGAUUCUAGGAUGACCACCCCACUGGCCCCUGCAGCAGAAGGAGCCUCAGCCUGGGCCCUGUCUCUGCCAACGCCCCCUCCUGGCAGAAUGGGCAGCCUAUCUGGGUAAAGACCUGCCCAGACCCCACAGCCAAGGGCAGCCCCUCAGAGAUUCAGGCCAGGAGCGGCCUUUGUUCCCCACACCUGGAGCUCAGAGCUUGCUUAGCCUGCGGUGGAAGCUCUGGUUUAAUUAAGGAUCUUAGGAGAGAAUUCUCUCUUGUUAUUUUCUGAA
This 1140-nucleotide long non-coding RNA is filed under the name Homo sapiens (human). Its description in RNAcentral is "HSALNT0291487". The record is from RNAcentral. Lineage: Eukaryota; Metazoa; Chordata; Mammalia; Primates; Hominidae.